This is a non-coding RNA of Pelobates cultripes (western spadefoot toad), 270 nucleotides long. The record is from the annotation of a GenBank genome assembly. NCBI's taxonomy places the organism in Eukaryota, Metazoa, Chordata, Amphibia, Anura, Pelobatidae.
GUAGCUGUCAGGGCCCGGGGCUUUGUUGCUCUUCAAGGAGGAUAUGGCCAUAUUGAUUUCGUCUGUGGUGAUUGGGGCCGAUAAUUCUUCUAUGGCUGCGGUAUGGAGUUUGGGUAGGUUGAGGCGCGCUAAGAAUUCCGAUGUCCUCUGGCAGGCUGUCUGAGUGAGCAUAUGGCCUUGGGGGGUGUGGUUGUAUAGGGCUUCGUAAUAGGAGGUAAAAGUCUGCGCUAUCUCUGUCGGUGUGGUUUUCAUGGUGCCGUCGGGGGCUCG